This 497-nucleotide ribosomal RNA is filed under the name uncultured bacterium. RNAcentral describes it as "partial 16S ribosomal RNA". It matches the Rfam family "Bacterial small subunit ribosomal RNA", at positions 28 to 507 of the family's 1533-position model. The record is from RNAcentral.
GAUGAACGCUGGCGGCGUGCCUAAUACAUGCAAGUCGAGCGAACGGACGAGAAGCUUGCUUUUCUGAUGUUAGCGGCGGACGGGUGAGUAACACGUGGAUAACCUACCUAUAAGACUGGGAUAACUUCGGGAAACCGGAGCUAAUAUCGGAUAAUAUUUUGAACCGCAUGGUUCAAAAGUGAAAGACAGUCUUGCUGUCACUUAUAGAUGGAUCCGCGCUGCAUUAGCUAGUUGGUAAGGUAACGGCUUACCAAGGCAACGAUGCAUAGCCGACCUGAGAGGGUGAUCGGCCACACUGGAACUGAGACACGGUCCAGACUCCUACGGGAGGCAGCAGUAGGGAAUCUUCCGCAAAGGGCGAAAGCCUGACGGAGCAACGCCGCGUGAGUGAUGAAGGUCUUCGGAUCGUAAAACUCUGUUAUUAGGGAAGAACAUAUGUGUAAGUAACUGUGCACAUCUUGACGGUACCUAAUCAGAAAGCCACGGCUAACUACGUG